GUGGUUAUGAGUUAAAGGUAGACCUACAGAUUUCCGGUCUGGAUAUGUCAGUUCAAGUCUGACUAGCCGCG
Transfer RNA from Ophiocordyceps sinensis CO18, 71 nucleotides. It matches the Rfam family "tRNA". From Rfam's summary of the family: Transfer RNA (tRNA) molecules are approximately 80 nucleotides in length. Their secondary structure includes four short double-helical elements and three loops (D, anti-codon, and T loops). The record is from Rfam. Lineage: Eukaryota; Fungi; Ascomycota; Sordariomycetes; Hypocreales; Ophiocordycipitaceae.